RNAcentral lists this ribosomal RNA (812 nucleotides) under uncultured bacterium. RNAcentral's name for it is "bacterial SSU rRNA". It matches the Rfam family "Bacterial small subunit ribosomal RNA", at positions 8 to 773 of the family's 1533-position model. The record is from RNAcentral.
AGAGUUUGAUCCUGGCUCAGGAUGAACGCUGGCGGCGUGCCUAAUACAUGCAAGUCGAACGCACUGUGGUUCAACUGAUUUGAAGAGCUUGCUCUGAUAUGACGAUGAACAUUGCAGUGAGUGGCGAACGGGUGAGUAACACGUGGGAAACCUACCUCUUAGCGGGGGAUAACAUCUGGAAACAGAUGCUAAUACCGCAUAACACUAGCAACCGCAUGGUUGCUACUUGAAAGAUGGUUCUGCUAUCACUAAGAGAUGGUCCCGCGGCGCAUUAGUUAGUUGGUGAGGUAAUGGCUCACCAAGACGAUGAUGCGUAGCCGAGUUGAGAGACUGAUCGGCCACAAUGGGACUGAGACACGGCCCAUACUCCUACGGGAGGCAGCAGUAGGGAAUCUUCCACAAUGGACGAAAGUCUGAUGGAGCAACGCCGCGUGUGUGAUGAAGGGUUUCGGCUCGUAAAACACUGUUGUAAGAGAAGAAUAGCAUCAAGAGUAACUGCUUGGUGUGUGACGGCAUCUUACCAGAAAGGAACGGCUAAAUACGUGCCAGCAGCCGCGGUAAUACGUAUGUUCCAAGCGUUAUCCGGAUUUAUUGGGCGUAAAGCGAGCGCAGACGGUUUUUUAAGUCCGAAGUGAAAGCCCACAGCUUAACUGUGGAAGUGCUUUGGAAACUGGAUGACUUGAGUGCAGUAGAGGAGAGUGGAAUUCCAUGUGUAGCGGUGAAAUGCGUAGAUAUAUGGGAGGAACACCAGUGGCGAAGCGGCUCUCUGGGACUGUAACUGACGUUGAGGCUCGAAAGUGUGGGUAGCAAAC